GACCUCAGAUCAGGUAGGAAUACCCGCUGAACUUAAGCAUAUCAAUAAGCGGAGGAAAAGAAACCAACAGGGAUUGCCUCAGUAACGGCGAGUGAAGCGGCAACAGCUCAAAUUUGAAAUCUGGCCCUAGGCCCGAGUUGUAAUUUGCAGAGGAUGUUUCUGGCGAGGUGCCUUCCGAGUUCCCUGGAACGGGACGCCAUAGAGGGUGAGAGCCCCGUACGGUUGGUCGCUAAGCCUCUGUGAAACUCCUUCGACGAGUCGAGUAGUUUGGGAAUGCUGCUCUAAAUGGGAGGUAUACGUCUUCUAAAGCUAAAUACCGGCCAGAGACCGAUAGCGCACAAGUAGAGUGAUCGAAAGAUGAAAAGCACUUUGAAAAGAGGGUUAAAUAGUACGUGAAAUUGUUGAAAGGGAAGCGCUUAUGACCAGACUUGGACCGGUUGAUCAUCCAUCGUUCUCGGUGGUGCACUCUGCCGGUUCAGGCCAGCAUCAGUUCGUCCCGGGGGAUAAAGGCUUUGGGAAUGUGGCUCUUCGGAGUGUUAUAGCCCACUGCGUAAUACCCUGGGAUGGACUGAGGUUCGCGCUCCGCAAGGAUGCUGGCGUAAUGGUCAUCAGUGACCCGUCUUGAAACACGGACCAAGGAGUCGUCUUCGUAUGCGAGUGUUCGGGUGUCAAACCCCUACGCGUAAUGAAAGUGAACGUAGGAGAGAGCUUCGGCGCAUCUCCGACCGAUCCUGAUGUUCUCGGAUGGAUUUGAGUAAGAGCAUACGGGGCCGGACCCGAAAGAAGGUGAACUAUGCUUGUAUAGGGUGAAGCCAGAGGAAACUCUGGUGGAGGCUCGCAGCGGUUCUGACGUGCAAAUCGAUCGUCAAAUAUGAGCAUGGGGGCGAAAGACUAAUCGAA
RNAcentral lists this ribosomal RNA (900 nucleotides) under Verruciconidia persicina. Its description in RNAcentral is "eukaryotic LSU rRNA". It matches the Rfam family "Eukaryotic large subunit ribosomal RNA", at positions 1 to 939 of the family's 3401-position model. Lineage: Eukaryota; Fungi; Ascomycota; Sordariomycetes; Hypocreales; Bionectriaceae. The record is from RNAcentral.